Molecule: ribosomal RNA, 117 nt
Filed under: Castor canadensis (American beaver)
Lineage: Eukaryota; Metazoa; Chordata; Mammalia; Rodentia; Castoridae
Source: RNAcentral
AUCUACAACCAUACCAUCCUAAAUGUGCCGAUUUCAUCUGAUCUAGGAAGCUAAGCAGGGUUGGUCCUGGUUAAUCCUGGAUGAGAGACCACCUGGGAAUACCAGAUGCUGUACGCU